Molecule: ribosomal RNA, 478 nt
Filed under: uncultured Rhodoferax sp.
Lineage: Bacteria; Pseudomonadati; Pseudomonadota; Betaproteobacteria; Burkholderiales; Comamonadaceae
Description: bacterial SSU rRNA
Rfam family: Bacterial small subunit ribosomal RNA
Source: RNAcentral
CAAAUGAAUUGACGGGGCCCGCACAAGCGGUGGAGCAUGUGGUUUAAUUCGAUGCAACGCGAAAACCUUACCCACCUUUGACAUGUACGGAACCCUUUAGAGAUAGAGGGGUGCUCGAAAGAGAGCCGUAACACAGGUGCUGCAUGGCUGUCGUCAGCUCGUGUCGUGAGAUGUUGGGUUAAGUCCCGCAACGAGCGCAACCCUUGUCAUUAGUUGCUACAUUCAGUUGGGCACUCUAAUGAGACUGCCGGUGACAAGCCGGAGGAAGGUGGGGAUGACGUCAAGUCCUCAUGGCCCUUAUAGGUGGGGCUACACACGUCAUACAAUGGCUGGUACAAAGGGUUGCCAACCCGCGAGGGGGAGCCAAUCCCAUAAAGCCAGUCGUAGUCCGGAUCGUAGUCUGCAACUCGACUACGUGAAGUCGGAAUCGCUAGUAAUCGUGGAUCAGAAUGUCACGGUGAAUACGUUCCCGGGUCUU